This 468-nucleotide ribosomal RNA is filed under the name uncultured bacterium. RNAcentral's name for it is "partial 16S ribosomal RNA". It matches the Rfam family "Bacterial small subunit ribosomal RNA", at positions 28 to 507 of the family's 1533-position model. The record is from RNAcentral.
GACGAACGCUGGCGGCGUGCUUAACACAUGCAAGUCGAACGGAAAGGCCCUGCUUUUGUGGGGUGCUCGAGUGGCGAACGGGUGGGUAACACGUGAGUAACCUGCCCUGUACUUUGGGAUAACUUCAGGAAACUGGGGCUAAUACCGGAUAGGAGCUCCUGCUGCAUGGUGGGGGUUGGAAAGUUUCGGUGGUUGGGGAUGGACUCGGGGCUUAGCAGCUUGUUGGUGGGGUAGUGGCUUACCAAGGCUUUGACGGGUAGCCGGCCUGAGAGGGUGACCCGCCACAUUGGGCCUGAGAUGCGGGCCAGACUGCUACGUGAGGCAGCAGUGGGGAAUAUUGCACAAUGGGCGGAAGCCUGAUGCAGCAACGCCGCGUGCGGGAUGUCGGCCUUCAGGUUGUAAACCGCUUUCGCCUGUGACGAAGCGUGCGUGACGGUAAUUGGUCAAGAAGCAACGGCUAACUACGUG